Molecule: long non-coding RNA, 957 nt
Filed under: Chrysemys picta bellii (western painted turtle)
Lineage: Eukaryota; Metazoa; Chordata; Testudines; Emydidae
Description: lncRNA (ENSCPBG00000009799.1)
Source: RNAcentral
AGACCCUGGGAUUUUUAGUCACCCCGCCAACUAACCCUGCUCUAGGAGGGCUAGACAUCAUGCCCUCUAGUGUGGAGGGGAGUCGGUCUGAUUGCAUGAGUAUUUCCACUCUUACUUCCUCUUGUGGAACUGCACCUGUGGGGAAACUUGAAGAAAAAUAGCAGUGUAGACAAGGCCCUGGAGGUGGUUCCAUCUGGUUAUGCUUGAUGCAGGGUGCUUAGUAGGCACACUCACCUUGCCUCUUCUCUUCCUGUAGAAAUAUUGAGGACUUUUAAGUACAAGAGUCGGGAGGAAGUUUAGAGAAGAACCGCAAUAUGACUGGUUGGUAGGAGUAUUGAUUUAGUAGGAAGGAUUAAAGGAGUUAAAGGGGGAGAUGCUUAUGCCUAGAAAUAAGCUAAAAUUAAGACCAAGUCCACACAAUAUCAGGAAAGAUUCUGGUAGCAAGAUCUAGAUGUCUUUUUUGAGCCAUAUGUGUUCUUUAGAUGAAGAAGUUGGAUCUCACCAUAAUUUGGCUAUUUUUGUAGCCCAAUUUAUCCUCUUCAUAUUGGUUAGAAAAAUAAACCUACAUUAGUGUAAUUAAUUAUCAUUAAGAGGAAAAACAGAUGAUAUAGAAUGUUAAAUGAGAACAUACUAGUGAAAUUGAUUUACAUGGAACCUCUGCACAAAGUGAGAUAUUUCAAAGGAAAGACCUGCUUAUAAUAAACUGAAGUUGUUGCUUGUUGGAUCUAUAUGGCGUUUUGGUGACAUUUCCAUAUUGUAAAUUGGUCUCUAUAUUUGUACCUUUCCUUGUUGUGGAACCAGCUACAGUGCUAUGCUCUGCAAACAAUUGUGUGAACAAAGUAUCAACUGUGUAAUUGCCCCCAAAUACCUGGAUUUCCAGUACAGCAGAGAUCUUUCUGCCACAGACUUACCUGCCAAAAUACGGGACAGUGAAAUAAUGGUCUUCUAGUCUGCUAA